Triticum aestivum (bread wheat) is the source of this 111-nucleotide non-coding RNA. The record is from Rfam. NCBI's taxonomy places the organism in Eukaryota, Viridiplantae, Streptophyta, Magnoliopsida, Poales, Poaceae.
UUUUUAUUCCCUCCGUCCGAAAAUACUUGUCAUCAAAAUGGAUAAAAGGGGAUGUAUCCAUCCCCUUUUAUCCAUUUUGAUGACAAGUAUUUUCGGACGAAGGGUUGCGUC